Long non-coding RNA from Hipposideros armiger (great roundleaf bat), 1693 nucleotides. RefSeq lists it as uncharacterized. The record is from RefSeq and is a predicted model, not a curated record. The transcript is spliced from 3 exons. Lineage: Eukaryota; Metazoa; Chordata; Mammalia; Chiroptera; Hipposideridae.
CGGGGCGCGGAGUCGAUGCGGGGGUUGGGGGGAGGGGCUCCGGGGCCGGACCCUCCCGCGCAGCCUGGGACGCGCCCGCUGGCGCGCGGCAGGGGGAGAGGGGAAGCCCAGGCUGAACCUUGGAGGAGCCCCUUUCCCGGGUGCAGGAAUUCCCCCCAGACGCGAGUGGUGCGAGUUAAUUCAUUAGAAGGCGGUUCGCGGCCCGAGUGCACAUGGGCGGGGGCGGGGUGCAAAUCGCCUCAUUCCGGCCGCGAGAACUCCAGCCCGAGGCCCGGGAGCCGAUGACUCACGCUGGCGGCUAAUUACAGCGUUAAAUAACUUUGCGCUGGAUCCCGGAGAGGCAGGCGUGGCUGCAGCGAGGGAAAGCGGGUGCGCGCGUGCGCGCAGGGGUGCUGCGAGAACACACCUCCGUUCCUGCCACCCACUUAGCAAGCUCUGCUGUGGAGACACCCCCGGAGCGCACUGCUUCGUGCCCUGCUCGCGCAGAGUGUCGGUUGGUGCCUGGUGAGCCCGGGCACAGCCCCCGAUGGCCCCUCGCGUCUGGACGCAGCCGCACCCACGGAGAGGCAGCCCGCGCGCAGGGGCCCCUCGCCCACUUUCACGGAAGCCAUCUGCCCCGUGAAUCUGCGAAGGCCCUUCGUGGGCUCUGCACAUUUGCGUGGGACUGACUUGAGCUGCGAUCGCUGCGGGAAGGAGCAGGUUUCGCUGUAUUUUUAGCAGGGACUGCAGAUUUUAGGACCGCGGCUGGACCGCCUCGUGCUGUCCCCUGCACGCGUGGUGACUUCCCAGAACGCUGAGGACAGCGAGCCUUCUUUCACAUUUAUGGCAUAUGCGCUUUUAGAGGACGUUGUGUAAAUCAGCCCGCUUGAUUAUCAGCACCCACACGCGGAGUUGCCAUGAGCUGCCUUCCAAUGAUUAUUUCGGUUUCCAGGGCAACGAGGUUUGCAGCCACCCCCGUGCAGAAACACGAUGGAGCACCCUCUCCAUUGCCAGUGCAGCCUGCUCGGCCAGAUCGAUUAGGUUUUGGGGGCAGCAGUGCGCUGACAUCCUCUCUUCCUCCGCGGGGCGGAAGGGACGGAUCAGUAUCAAUCUUCACUUACAGACGGAGUGUGUGCUUCUCUGUGCCAAGCCUGUGUUGGUGACGAUCAAUCUGAAGACCUCACUCGCACAGAACCAGAGCCAGUCAGUUUUUGAAGAUGCAGAAUGCUCUUUAACUAUUAUUUUGAAAGCUUUUAUCCUAUGAAAUAUAAUAGGUCCACAGAAAUAUCCAUUAAAUUCACACGUAACAGCUUAUUGGCUUGUAAGUGAGCAUCUAUAUACUUGCCACCAAAUCAAGAAACAGGUUCUGAGACUUGAGUGCCUCCCUUCGCAUAAUACGUUAUGCUAAGUCCAUUUGAAAGCACUUCCUUGUGUGUGUUUGUACUUUAUCACCAGGCGCGCACUCUGACACUUCUGUUUGGGAUGCUUGUUUUCUGACCUUUGUCUAAAUGGAACCGUAGAGCACGACUGUCAUAUGUCUGGCUUCUUUCACUCAACUUGGCGUCUGUGAAGCUUACAUCUGCAGUCGUUGACUCACUGCUGGAUCCACGGCCAUUGUGUGAAUAUGCCACGAUGUAUUUAGCCAUUUUACUGAUGCUGAACAUUUGAUAGUUUCUAGUUUGGGAAAAUUCUGAAUAAAGCGGUUGUGAACUUU